Molecule: non-coding RNA, 108 nt
Filed under: Heyndrickxia ginsengihumi
Lineage: Bacteria; Bacillati; Bacillota; Bacilli; Caryophanales; Bacillaceae
Description: Bacillus ginsengihumi TPP sequence
Rfam family: TPP riboswitch aptamer (THI element)
About the family: Vitamin B(1) in its active form thiamin pyrophosphate (TPP) is an essential coenzyme that is synthesised by coupling of pyrimidine and thiazole moieties in bacteria.
Source: Rfam by way of RNAcentral
UGACACUACUAGGGGUGCCUAUGCAGGCUGAGAGAAAAACAUGUCGUUUUUUAACCCUUUGUACCUGAUCCGGUUCAUACUGGCGUAGGAAAGUAGGAAGUACAGCUU